CCUACGGGGGGCAGCAGUGAGGUAUAUUGGUCAAUGGACGAGAGUCUGAACCAGCCAAGUAGCGUGAAGGAUGACUGCCCUAUGGGUUGUAAACUUCUUUUAUAUGGGAAUAAAACGUUCCACGUGUGGGAUUUUGUAUGUACCAUAUGAAUAAGGAUCGGCUAACUCCGUGCCAGCAGCCGCGGUAAUACGGAGGAUCCGAGCGUUAUCCGGAUUUAUUGGGUUUAAAGGGAGCGUAGGUGGAUUGUUAAGUCAGUUGUGAAAGUUUGCGGCUCAACCGUAAAAUUGCAGUUGAAACUGGCAGUCUUGAGUACAGUAGAGGUGGGCGGAAUUCGUGGUGUAGCGGUGAAAUGCUUAGAUAUCACGAAGAACUCCGAUUGCGAAGGCAGUUCACUGGACUGCAACUGACACUGAGGCUCGAAAGUGUGGGUAUCAAACAGGAUUAGAUACCCCAGUAGUC
This 460-nucleotide ribosomal RNA is filed under the name uncultured bacterium. Its description in RNAcentral is "partial 16S ribosomal RNA". It matches the Rfam family "Bacterial small subunit ribosomal RNA", at positions 338 to 795 of the family's 1533-position model. The record is from RNAcentral.